RNAcentral lists this ribosomal RNA (496 nucleotides) under uncultured bacterium. RNAcentral describes it as "partial 16S ribosomal RNA". It matches the Rfam family "Bacterial small subunit ribosomal RNA", at positions 28 to 506 of the family's 1533-position model. The record is from RNAcentral.
GACGAACGCUGGCGGCGUGCCUAAUACAUGCAAGUAGAACGCUGAAGAGAGGAGCUUGCUCUUCUUGGAUGAGUUGCGAACGGGUGAGUAACGCGUAGGUAACCUGCCUGGUAGCGGGGGAUAACUAUUGGAAACGAUAGCUAAUACCGCAUAAAAUGGAUUAUCGCAUGAUAAUCCAUUGAAAGGUGCAAAUGCAUCACUACCAGAUGGACCUGCGUUGUAUUAGCUAGUUGGUGGGGUAACGGCUCACCAAGGCGACGAUACAUAGCCGACCUGAGAGGGUGAUCGGCCACACUGGGACUGAGACACGGCCCAGACUCCUACGGGAGGCAGCAGUAGGGAAUCUUCGGCAAUGGACGGAAGUCUGACCGAGCAACGCCGCGUGAGUGAAGAAGGUUUUCGGAUCGUAAAGCUCUGUUGUAAGAGAAGAACGAGUGUGAGAGUGGAAAGUUCACACUGGGACGGGAUCUUACCAGAAAGGGACGGCUAACUACGU